This 72-nucleotide transfer RNA is filed under the name Danionella translucida. It matches the Rfam family "tRNA". From Rfam's summary of the family: Transfer RNA (tRNA) molecules are approximately 80 nucleotides in length. Their secondary structure includes four short double-helical elements and three loops (D, anti-codon, and T loops). The record is from Rfam by way of RNAcentral. Lineage: Eukaryota; Metazoa; Chordata; Actinopteri; Cypriniformes; Danionidae. RNAcentral also lists the same sequence under 1 other name.
GGCUCGUUGGUCUAGGGGUAUGAUUCUCGCUUUGGGUGUGAGAGAUCCCGGGUUCAAAUCCUGGACGAGCCC